GGGCCUAUAGGUAAAUGGUAUACCGGUGCAUUCGCAUUGCACAGUCUCGAGUUCGAUUCUCGAUAGGUCCACAA
This 74-nucleotide transfer RNA is filed under the name Candidatus Kaiserbacteria bacterium RIFCSPHIGHO2_02_FULL_59_21. Its description in RNAcentral is "tRNA-Ala". It matches the Rfam family "tRNA". From Rfam's summary of the family: Transfer RNA (tRNA) molecules are approximately 80 nucleotides in length. Their secondary structure includes four short double-helical elements and three loops (D, anti-codon, and T loops). RNAcentral also lists the same sequence under 1 other name. The record is from RNAcentral. Lineage: Bacteria; Candidatus Kaiseribacteriota.